GCAUGGGGGUGCGGUGAAAGGAGCGAUCCGGCACGGGAUGGGCAUGCGGCGCAUUAGCUAGUCGGCGGGGUGACGGCCCACCGAGGCGACGAUGCGUAGGGGUUCUGAGAGGAAGGUCCCCCACACUGGUACUGAGACACGGACCAGACUCCUACGGGAGGCAGCAGUGAGGAAUAUUGGUCAAUGGACGGAGGUCUGAACCAGCCAAGUCGCGUGAGGGACGACGGCCCUACGGGUUGUAAACCUCUUUUGCGGGGGAGUAAAGUGAGCCACGCGUGGUUCAUUGCGAGUACCCCGAGAAAAAGCAUCGGCUAAUUCCGUGCCAGCAGCCGCGGUAAUACGGAAGAUGCGAGCGUUAUCCGGAUUUAUUGGGUUUAAAGGGUGCGCAGGCGGCAUGUCAAGUCAGCGGUCAAAGUUCCGGGCUCAACCCGGUGAUGCCGUUGAAACUGGCGCGCUUGAGUUCGUGGGAGGAAGGCGGAAUGCGCGGUGUAGCGGUGAAAUGCAUAGAUAUCACGCAGAACCCCGAUUGCGAAGGCAGCCUUCCAUCACGCCACUGACGCUGAGGCACGAAAGCGUGGGUAUCGAACAGGAUUAGAUACCCUGGUAGUCCACGCAGUAAACGAUGAUAACUAGUUUUCCGGCGCGAUUGGGCGUUGGGAGACCGAGCGAAAGCGUUAAGUUAUCCACCUGGGGAGUACGCCGGCAACGGUGAAACUCAAAGGAAUUGACGGGGGCCCGCACAAGCGGAGGAACAUGUGGUUUAAUUCGAUGAUACGCGAGGAACCUUACCCGGGCUCAAACGGCGAUGGACGCACCGUGAAAGCGGUGUUCCCUUCGGGGCUGUUGCCGAGGUGCUGCAUGGUUGUCGUCAGCUCGUGCCGUGAGGUGUCGGCUUAAGUGCCAUAACGAGCGCAACCCCCAUCUCCAGUUGCCACCGCGUCAAGGCGGGCACUCUGGAGAGACUGCCGGCGCAAGCUGCGAGGAAGGCGGGGAUGACGUCAAAUCAGCACGGCCCUUACGUCCGGGGCGACACACGUGUUACAAUGGCGGGGCACAGCGGGGCGCCACAUGGCGACAUGGAGCCGAUCCCGAAAACCCGUCUCAGUUCGGAUCGGAGUCUGCAACCCGACUCCGUGAAGCUGGAUUCGCUAGUAAUCG
Molecule: ribosomal RNA, 1158 nt
Filed under: uncultured bacterium
Lineage: Bacteria
Description: bacterial SSU rRNA
Rfam family: Bacterial small subunit ribosomal RNA
Source: RNAcentral